RNAcentral lists this ribosomal RNA (441 nucleotides) under uncultured bacterium. RNAcentral's name for it is "partial 16S ribosomal RNA". It matches the Rfam family "Bacterial small subunit ribosomal RNA", at positions 338 to 795 of the family's 1533-position model. The record is from RNAcentral.
CCUACGGGUGGCAGCAGUGGGGAAUAUUGCACAAUGGGGGAAACCCUGAUGCAGCAACGCCGCGUGGGUGAAGGAGCGUUUCGGCGCGUAAAGCCCUGUCAGCGGGGAAGAAGAAAGACGGUACCCGACCAAGAAGCCCCGGCUAACUACGUGCCAGCAGCCGCGGUAAUACGUAGGGGGCGAGCGUUAUCCGGAAUUACUGGGUGUAAAGGGAUCGUAGACGGUGAGGGAAGCCUGAAGUGGAAGCCCGCGGCCCAACCCCGGGACUGCUUUGGAAACUGGGUAACUGGAGUACAGGAGGGGCAGGCGGAAUUCGUGGUGUAGCGGUGAAAUGCGUAGAUAUCAGGAGGAACACCGGCGGCGAAGGCGGCCUGCUGGACUGAAACUGACGUUGAGGCUCGAAAGCGUGGGGAGCAAACAGGAUUAGAUACCCGAGUAGUC